This 634-nucleotide long non-coding RNA is filed under the name Homo sapiens (human). RNAcentral describes it as "HSALNT0401923". The record is from RNAcentral. Lineage: Eukaryota; Metazoa; Chordata; Mammalia; Primates; Hominidae.
AACGGAAUGCAAAUGCCUGAAAGAGUCAAGCCAACACUGUGUGGAACAGAGAAGAACCAUUCCAGCUAAGCCCAGCCCUAGUUUGCUAGCCCACUGAAGAGUAGAUACUCCUGACCAUCACAGAGAUGCUUACAGCAUCCACAAAUUGCAAUUGUGAACUCCUGCUGAGAAUGACCAGGUCUGGGUUCAACGUCUUUGCCUCCUUUUCUACACAUUGCAUAAGGUUCCCCUCCAACACAUCUCCCAUUAGCAUGGAUUGCAAAAGCUUCAGGCAGCAGUGAGUCAACCAUAGCUGCACCUGGGGAACAGAGAAAAAAAAAUACCACUGCCCUGACCCCAUUCCAAAAGGACUGAAUCAGACUCUCUAAUCAGGGGCUUGGCUAAUAACCAUAGUUAAGGGAAAUAAAGUAAUUCUGGUGCAACUUGACUUGAGAAUCAGUUGUACUUCCAUCUGGCUGCAUAGUAGAAUCAUGUGGGGAACACGCCAAUAUCUAGGCCAUACCCAAAAACAAAGCUAUCAGAUUCUCUGGGACUGAGGCUUCUGCAGUCAUCAUUUAUAAAUAAAACAAAAAUCUUCAGAUGAUUCUAAUCUGCAGCUAAAGUAAGCAACAAAGAGCUGUUCGUUGUGCAAAAA